RNAcentral lists this ribosomal RNA (405 nucleotides) under uncultured bacterium. RNAcentral's name for it is "bacterial SSU rRNA". It matches the Rfam family "Bacterial small subunit ribosomal RNA", at positions 355 to 775 of the family's 1533-position model. The record is from RNAcentral.
UGGGGAAUCUUGCGCAAUGGGCGAAAGCCUGACGCAGCAACGCCGCGUGAGUGAUGAAGGCCCUCGGGUCGUAAAGCUCUGUCAGAAGGGAAGAAUAAAUGACGGUACCUUCAAAGGAGGCACCGGCUAACUCCGUGCCAGCAGCCGCGGUAAUACGGAGGGUUCAAGCGUUACUCGGAAUCAUUGGGCGUAAAGCGCACGUAGGCGGUCUCUUAAGUCCGGCGUGAAAUCCUGGGGCUCAACCUCAGAUGGCUGUUGGAAACUAAGAGACUUGAGAGUGGAAGGGGUCAGUGGAAUUCCUGGUGUAGGAGUGAAAUCCGUAGAGAUCAGGAGGAACACCGGUGGCGAAGGCGACUGACCGGGCCAUUUCUGACGCUAAUGUGCAAAAGCGUGGGGAGCAAACAG